GCCAGAAUUAAUUUUACCCUGGUCUGAGCAGUUAGAAUUUAUAUUAUUACAAUUGUAUUCUGGUUCAUGGAGAUAUAUUAUUUAUUCUCUAUUACCUAAAUCGCAUGUUCCUGGAGGAUUUAGAGUAAGAACUCAGUAAAUACUUAUUGAAUUGAAUUGAAUAUACAUCCAAUAAAUAGCUUCAAUAGUUGGAAGUGGGAAGAGGGUAUUAGAAUAAAAAGCCAGACAAUGGAUGAAACCAGUCAGAGAAAAUUUUUGAGAUUUAAGUGAGUUUCAUACAGUAAUUUAAAUAAAAGAAAUUGUUGGAGAAGCUGGAGACUGAUUUACACAAAUGAGUCUGUCUAGACUAAGCCUUAAAAUCUGGCAAAGGAACCAAAAGAAGGAACCAAAAAAAGAAAGCUUAGCCAAAAUAUGGCAUUAGGAUGGUGUAUGGAAGGAAGUGAGAAGAAAUGGAGUGGAAAUAAAUGUGAGCAAUCAAAUGAAUGUUUGAUAGAUAUCUCUGAAAGAUUUUUAUACUCAGUAAUCAACCUUCUUUCUGUCCACAUACCAUUAGAAUAUGAAUUUCAUUUUUGGUCAAAUACAAAUCUGCUACGCGGAUCUCCACUGCUUUUUGUAACUCUACAGACAUCAGUACCUUGUUUUUUUAAAGAAAAUUCUAAAGGACUAAUAUUUCAGGAAAUUAUAUUUGUAAGCAAGACAACUCAGUUGGACAAAUAUCACAGUAUAAGAUACAUAACAAUUCCCUAAUUGUGUAUUCUUAUCCUGAUGAAUUAGGAGAUGUGAUACAUCUUCUCUCUUGUCAAGAACUCCAACUCUUGAGGACACUUUGACAUGGCCUAAUGCAGUCGAAAUCAGAAAGGAGCUAAGCCAUCUUCCAAUAAGAAAUACAGGUUUUAGGAGAACAUGGUGUUUCUCAGCAGGGGUAUAAUAAUGCAGGGGGGUUGCAUGUCUUCAGUAUCUGUCUGGUUGCAGGCACUGUGCUAUGCAUUUCAUUUUACUGAGAAAGGAGGAAACUGAGCCCGUGGAGGUUGACAAUACACACAAUGUCUCACCACCAGUAACUAGCAAAACAGAUUCGAACCCAUGCCUUACUCCAGUCAGUGCUUUACCUACUACCAACGCUGCAUCUUUACAUCAUGCAAAAGUACCACAGAGUUAUUUUCAUCUGCAGUAUCCCUCCACAAGUAGGCAGACAGAAAACCAGAAAAAUGAAAUGAAUUGACCCUACUAUAAUUCUCUCAUAUUUCACUAAGGUAUUUCUAAUUAAAAUCAACAUAAAAAGUAAGCAAUAUAUGUUAUUAUUCAAAAUAAGCAAAAGUAGUAAUCUUGCUGAAAUAAAAUAGAACUAUUUCGCAGUUUUAUGAUUUUCCCUUUAAUUUUUUUCUUUAAUUUAAUUUGAAGAUUAUACUAGUUCCUUUGAAUACUUAAGUGUAGCAAACCUUGGCAUUACUAAGAACUGGAACCUCAUCCCUGGCUUAUAGUUAUUCUGACUGAAUAGGCGAUUUGGCUACUGCACAGAUUGAGUCUUUAUGGGAAAACAAGUCAAUCAGUUGUGCAGUACAUGAAUCUCUGAAAGCCACAUGCAUCACUUGUCUUUAAAUCAUUCAACAUAGUUUGGCAUUCAAUAACUCAUAGAAAUAAAUGCUGAGGAGAAAAAAAAGGCGAAAUAAAUGUUGAGACUUUUCUGAAAAUUCCUUAGAAAUUAAUACCAGUUAACUCUUAAAUAACCUUCAAACUUGGGCUUUUCUUUGUUUCAUAUUGCCUUUCACAGUGAGAAGGCAAAAUAAAUGCUGAAUAAUCAACAAGGAUUGUGUAUCAGAAUGAUUUAAAAUGACAUUCCCACAGAAGAUGAGAAAACAGAAUGAAACAAAACUGUAUGGACUGUGAAUCCCUUUCAGCUCUUAUUUGAGUGCAUUUGAUUGAAGGUCCUUGGAGGUGACAGGCACCACCAGGAACCCAAGUCCAAAAAUCUCUGCUUGCCAUACACAUUGCUAUACACAGGCAUAGGCUGAUGGGUCUCUUCUAAACUGUUCUGAUUUCCAAAAGGUUGAAGAUGCAAGGAGAUGACAUUACUAAAAUGACUUGGUUCUUGGUGUGAUGCUAUUUGCAUCUAAGUUCUUUCCAAUGCUGCUUAAAAACGUGGAGAAGUAUGGAGUCAAUAAGGGAAAUAGGACAAUGCCAUCUCGUGAUUAGGAGAUCUGAACCCAGUUGGUAUGCGUGAGAAGCCCUAGCCAUAUGGAGAGGUCAUGUGUUGACGCCAGUCAGUUGCCUCAGUGAAGACCAGCCUUUGAAUCACUACAGCCAUCCCAUGAGACAUUAAGUGAAGAAGCCUCCAGAUGAUUACAGCCUUUAACUAUAUCAGGAAAAACAUUUUGUGCCCUACCUUUAUUGAGAGAUUAUUUUUAAAUGAUUGAAGAAGACAGGGAGAGACUGUACUCCUGAGAUGCACACAGCUGUAAUCUUCAGAAGACUACCCUUUGGCCAAACCUGCAUAGAGCUGGAGGUGCCAGGGAACUUGUGUCUCUCAAAGGGCAGCCUACAUACAGUGACUGACCGAUGAGGAAGAGUGAAAGCCCAGCUCCUUUUCCUCAAGAUAAGCAAAAUACAGUAUGAUUAGCAACGCAGUCAUCUGACAAGUCCCUCAGCCACCAGGAGACCCACCAAAGGCUGUGAUGAUGGGGGCAAGGAAUGAUGUUCAGGAAAGGUCUGAAGCACAAGCCUUGCCUGGAAAGGUUAUAAAUGUCAACCAGUUUGAAGGUAUGGAAAAGGAGAGAGAAAAAUGGAACAAAUUUCAGAGAAGAGGCACAGCUGAUGAGAACAGCAUUCUUAUCAAUGAGGUUUUUAAAUAUCAAGUUUCCAUCACACUGAAAGGGAUCAGCUGUGAAUCUGUGGGACGGUUUCUUUCAUACUUGGCAUUUCCUGGCUCCUGACAGUUCCUUGUGAGUGACUACUGGACACCUGGGUUCCAUUUGGGACCCAAGGCUUUACAUCAUCUGUGAACCAGGUGGAGUGAACAGCAGAGCUGGCGUUGGAGGAAUUUGAGAAUAGGUGAAAGAGACUCCACGGAGUUCUCAUUCUCUCAUUGUAGGAAUUCUAGAAAGUUACCUGGUUGCAAUAAAAAUGCCUACUGCUGCCCUUUAAA
Felis catus (domestic cat) is the source of this 3142-nucleotide long non-coding RNA. RefSeq lists it as uncharacterized. The record is from RefSeq and is a predicted model, not a curated record. The transcript is spliced from 8 exons. Lineage: Eukaryota; Metazoa; Chordata; Mammalia; Carnivora; Felidae.